GAUGAACGCUGGCGGCGUGCCUAAUACAUGCAAGUCGAACGAAACUUCUUUAUCACCGUGUGCUUGCACUCACCGAUACAGAUUUGAGUGGCGAACGUGUCAUUAACACGUGUGCAACCUGCCUUAAAGAGGGUGAUACCACUUGGAAACAGGUGCUACUGCUGCAUAACCAUGGUUACCGCAUUUUAACGGUGUAAAAUGUGCCUGUGCUACCUCUUUUGGUUGGUCGCGCGGCGCAUUAGCUAGUUGUUAGGGUAAAGGCUUACCAAGGCAAUGAUGCGUAGACGAAGUGAGAGGCUGAUAGGCCACAUGAGGACUGAGACACGGACCAAACGACUACGGGAGGCAGCAGUAGGGAAUCUGCCACAGUGGGCGAAAGCAUGAUGGAGCGACGCCACGUGGGUGAAGAAGGUGUUCGGAGCGUAAAACCCUGUUGUUAGAGAUGAAAGGGCGUGGGAGGAAAUGUUCACGGUGUGACGGUAACUAACCAGAAAGCCACGGCUAACUACGUG
Molecule: ribosomal RNA, 512 nt
Filed under: uncultured bacterium
Lineage: Bacteria
Description: partial 16S ribosomal RNA
Rfam family: Bacterial small subunit ribosomal RNA
Source: RNAcentral